Molecule: ribosomal RNA, 485 nt
Filed under: uncultured bacterium
Lineage: Bacteria
Description: partial 16S ribosomal RNA
Rfam family: Bacterial small subunit ribosomal RNA
Source: RNAcentral
AUUGAACGCUGGCGGCAUGCCUUACACAUGCAAGUCGAACGGCAGCACGGGUGCUUGCACCUGGUGGCGAGUGGCGAACGGGUGAGUAAUACAUCGGAACAUGUCCUGUAGUGGGGGAUAGCCCGGCGAAAGCCGGAUUAAUACCGCAUACGAUCUACGGAUGAAAGCGGGGGACCUUCGGGCCUUGCGCUAUAGGGUUGGCCGAUGGCUGAUUAGCUAGUUGGUGGGGUAAAGGCCUACCAAGGCGACGAUCAGUAGCUGGUCUGAGAGGACGACCAGCCAAACUGGGACUGGGACCCGGCCCAGACCCCUACGGGAGGCAGCAGGGGGGAAUUUUGACAAAUGGGGGAAAGCCUGACCCAGCAAUGCCGGGUGUGUGAAGAAGGCCUUCGGGUUGUAAAGCCCUUUUGUCCGGAAAAAAAUCCUUGGCCCUAAUACGGGCGGGGGAUGACGGCACCGGAAAAAAAAGCCCCGGCUAACUACGU